GCGGGUGUGGUGUAGCCUGGUAUCACGUAAGCUUGCCGAGCUUAUUACCCGGGUUCAAAUCCCGGCACCCGCA
This 73-nucleotide transfer RNA is filed under the name Thermoplasmata archaeon. Its description in RNAcentral is "tRNA-Gly". It matches the Rfam family "tRNA". From Rfam's summary of the family: Transfer RNA (tRNA) molecules are approximately 80 nucleotides in length. Their secondary structure includes four short double-helical elements and three loops (D, anti-codon, and T loops). Further hydrogen bonds mediate the characteristic L-shaped molecular structure. tRNAs have two regions of fundamental functional importance: the anti-codon, which is responsible for specific mRNA codon recognition, and the 3' end, to which the tRNAs corresponding amino acid is attached (by aminoacyl-tRNA synthetases). tRNAs cope with the degeneracy of the genetic code in two manners: having more than one tRNA (with a specific anti-codon) for a particular amino acid; and 'wobble' base-pairing, i.e. permitting non-standard base-pairing at the 3rd anti-codon position. Lineage: Archaea; Methanobacteriati; Thermoplasmatota; Thermoplasmata. RNAcentral also lists the same sequence under 1 other name. The record is from RNAcentral.